GAUGAACGCUGGCGGCGUGCCUAAUACAUGCAAGUCGAGCGAACGGACGAUAAGCUUGCUUCUCUGAUGUUAGCGGCGGACGGGUGAGUAACACGUGGAUAACCUACCUAUAAGACUGGGAUAACUUCGGGAAACCGGGGCUAAUACCGGAUGAUAUUUUGAACCGCAUGGUUCAAAAGUGAAAGACGGUCUUGCUGUCACUUAUAGGUGGAUCCGCGCUGCAUUAGCUAGUUGGUAAGGUAACGGCUUACCAAGGCAACGAUGCAUAGCCGACCUGAGAGGGUGAUCGGCCACACUGGAACUGAGACACGGUCCAGACUCCUACGGGAGGCAGCAGUAGGGAAUCUUCCGCAAUGGGCGAAAGCCUGACGGAGCAACGCCGCGUGAGUGAUGAAGGUCUUCGGAUCGUAAAACUCUGUUAUUAGGGAAGAACAUAUGUGUAAGUAACUGUGCACAUCUUGACGGUACCUAAUCAGAAAGCCACGGCUAACUACGUG
Molecule: ribosomal RNA, 497 nt
Filed under: uncultured bacterium
Lineage: Bacteria
Description: partial 16S ribosomal RNA
Rfam family: Bacterial small subunit ribosomal RNA
Source: RNAcentral